GCCGCGCACCGCUCCAUCGAGACGGGCCGCGCCGUGCCCUGGCGCGAGAUGCUCGACGAGUUCGAGGCGGCGCGCGC
RNAcentral lists this ribosomal RNA (77 nucleotides) under uncultured Phaeocystis. RNAcentral describes it as "partial Bacterial small subunit ribosomal RNA". Lineage: Eukaryota; Haptophyta; Phaeocystales; Phaeocystaceae. The record is from RNAcentral.